AUUGAACGCUGGCGGCAUGCCUUACACAUGCAAGUCGAACGGUAACGCGGGGGCAACCCUGGCGACGAGUGGCGAACGGGUGAGUAAUACAUCGGAACGUGUCCUGUUGUGGGGGGAUAACCCAUCGAAAGGUGAGCUAAUACCGCAUGAUCUGGAGACAGCAAAGCAGGGGACCGGUAACGGCCUUGCGCGAUUGGAGCGGCCGAUGUCCGAUUAGCUAGUUGGUGGGGUAAAGGCCCACCAAGGCAACGAUCGGUAGCUGGUCUGAGAGGAUGAUCAGCCACACUGGGACUGAGACACGGCCCAGACUCCUACGGGAGGCAGCAGUGGGGAAUUUUGGACAAUGGGGCAACCCUGAUCCAGCCAUGCCGCGUGAGUGAAGAAGGCCU
Molecule: ribosomal RNA, 389 nt
Filed under: uncultured bacterium
Lineage: Bacteria
Description: bacterial SSU rRNA
Rfam family: Bacterial small subunit ribosomal RNA
Source: RNAcentral